Molecule: ribosomal RNA, 460 nt
Filed under: uncultured bacterium
Lineage: Bacteria
Description: partial 16S ribosomal RNA
Rfam family: Bacterial small subunit ribosomal RNA
Source: RNAcentral
CCUACGGGUGGCAGCAGUGAGGAAUAUUGGUCAAUGGACGAGAGUCUGAACCAGCCAAGUAGCGUGAAGGAUGACUGCCCUAUGGGUUGUAAACUUCUUUUAUAUGGGAAUAAAAUGUUCCACGUGUGGGAUUUUGUAUGUACCAUAUGAAUAAGGAUCGGCUAACUCCGUGCCAGCAGCCGCGGUAAUACGGAGGAUCCGAGCGUUAUCCGGAUUUAUUGGGUUUAAAGGGAGCGUAGGUGGAUGGUUAAGUCAGUUGUGAAAGUUUGCGGCUCAACCGUAAAAUUGCAGUUGAGACUGGCAGUCUUGAGUCCAGUAGAGGUGGGCGGAAUGCGUGGUGUAGCGGUGAAAUGCUUAGAUAUCACGAAGAACUCCGAUUGCGAAGGCAGUUCACUGGACUGCAACUGACGCUGAGGCUCGAAAGUGUGGGUAUCAAACAGGAUUAGAUACCCGUGUAGUC